GCUGGAGUACGUCAAAUCUAAGUGAUAUAGUUUAAAGAUCCAUAAUAGUUUGCCCCUUUCUUCUUUCUUCCCAAAUCAAAAGAUCCAAAACCAAACAGAGGCAAAAGUGCCCAAUCGCAGAGGAGGCCAUUUCAAGAUGUCUCUGCACCUUGGUAACCUAUCAUCUCGCAUUCGUAGAGAUGAACUUGAGCGUGUUUUCCGGAGAUUCGGGCGGUGUAAUGUUCGCGUGAAAGACAAAUUUGGAUUUGUAGUUUAUGACUAUCCUAGAAAUGCUGAGAAAGCUCUAAAAACACUUCGAGGAAAGUUCAUAUGUGGAGAGCCAAUAAGUCUUUCAUGGUCUAAUAAGCAGCCUCGGUUCUUGCAGAAAUAUACACGAGAUGUUAAAUCUUUUGAAGCAGUAGGAAGGACGCACUCUGCUAGGGAAGAUUAUGUUGACCAUGUUAAUCGUGGGGUUGGUUCAAAUGGGGAACAAGGUUAUAAAGAAAGUUUUAGGCAAGGGAAUGGUGGCGAAAGGCUUCCUGCUGAAAUUACGGAUGAGGCAUGUCAUGAGAAUAAAAAAGAUUACAAGGAACAUCAUCCCUUUGUGGGUGAUUUUCCGGAUCAAGGUGGAGGUGUUGAGGGAAACCUCUCAAAAAAUGAUAACCAAAUGAAUCAAAAUGUCCUUGAGGAUAGAUUGGAGUUUGAUAGAUAUGAACCUAAUGAGGCUGAUGAGCGGACGGAGCAAAAUGUUUUGACACACGGGGAUGGUUCACUCUCUUUGAGGAAGCCUGAAGAGAAAGCAGGAGUGGAGCAAAUUGAUCCGAAGACUCAAAAUGCUUGCUACAACUGUGGUGAAGCAGGUCACAAAAUGCAGAAGUGUCCCCAGGGGAUCAAGAGGCUUGAAUCCAGGACUUCAAGAAGACUUCGAGCUGGUCGUGACACAAUAUCAUUGAGGAUGACCAAAGGUAUCAGGGAGGCUAUUGAUUCCAGAAAUGGCCAUAGAUUGAGGAGUGAACCUUCUCCUUCAGCAAGGACGACUCAUAGAGGUGGAAGAAACAACCACAGAGAAAACAAGCGAUGUUGGAAGGAACAGGGGAGUAUUGAGAAGUUUCUUCCAAAGAAAGCCAGGGUGUCAAUAUCACCUUCAAAUCAUUCGAAUCAUACUUCAUCUCAGUCACGGUCCUCUUCUAGGUCAAUGAGGUCUUUGUCUCAGUCUCCCUCACCAUCUAGGUCAAAAUUAGUAUCCUCCAUUAAAGAUUCUCCAUUUUCCAGUUCACAGUCUGGUUCAUCAACCCUUCAUACUAGAGGUAAAAGUUACAAGUCUAAUAUGAAGUCGAGGUCAAGCUCUCCUACAUCAUCUUCGUCUCCGGAAAAGGUGCAGAAAGAUCAGAAGGCCACUUUCGUGGAUGCUGGUGACCCUCAGUCUAAUGGAGUUUUAUUUGAAGGGGAGCCACUAGAAAAUAGUGCUGCUAGAAUGGAUGAUUCUAAGCUUGAAAACAUCAUUGUUCAAGUGGAAAAUCAAGGUGACGCUGCAGUUUGUGAACUGGAAGAGGAUGUUGAGCAUGAUUGUUGUCAGAGGAGGGAUGCAAUAGAUAUAGGCAAAGAUUCUUGUCAAUGGAAAAAUUCAAAUACCACAGGAUCUGACACGUGUGAUCUUACAACAUGGAGUGCAUCUCCAAAGAGUUUGGCAGAGACAAGGGAGCUUCAAAAUAAUGAUGUGGUGGAAGAGCAGACAUUGGCACAAAAUCCAAAUUCUGGUUCACCAGUUGCUGAGAGGCUUCAUUCCGCUACUUUGACAAGUCUAUCCUCAGAGGAAGUAUACCGGGUUCUCAAACACUAUGGGCUAGAGAACCAAGAGAAGAGAGAAAAUGAGUUACCUGUGGAAACUUAUUUUGGUUGUUCUCGCUUGUGGCCUUGGGAAAUCAUUUACUAUAGGAGACUUAAGAAGGGCCUCAUUUCAACUGAGAACUAUUCUAGGAGGUUGGCGCAGAAUAAAGAGUUUGGUAUAGUGGACAAAUUUGUAAGAAGCAGUAGUGGUUGGGCAGAAUUGAGAAAAGAAAAUAGUUAAUCGUUUCCUUUGACCGAUCGAUGCAUCAUAGUUCAUGUCUUUUCCUUGUGAUGCUAUGCAGAAAUUGGUUAGAAAGCUUUUACUGACCCUUCAGCAGAUAAACAAAUCACUGGUAAUUGGAAGUAUUGCGUUCAAAUGAGAAUGGUAUAUUCUUGCAACCAAAGUUACCAACCGCUUUGAAUUGGAAGAAUAAAACUUGAGAGACUUGCCUGUAAGAUUUAUCUAGUUACUUUCUGGGCUCUGCGUGCUCUACUUCCUAUACCAUAGUCAGUUAAAAUGUCCUCCAAGAAAAGAAAAAUCAGUUUAUUGGUUUAUGUUGGAUAAGUGUGGCAAAAUGCUAAAUGACCAUAACCUGGAAUUAAACUUGUUAUUAACAUCUUGGGGACUACUGAAGUUCUUUAGUUGUGGCUGAGAUAAUUAAGAAUUAGGAGUAACAAGAAUUUGGAAAUAUAAGACCGUUGGAGUUGGUAUAAAUGCUAGUUUCUUUGUUAUGUAGUACAUGUAGCUGUGUUGGUAGGAGGCAAUAGGUACUUGGUGAAUUGGUCGAUGUGUGGCAACUUAUAAAAGAAAUAUACUAGUUGCUCACUUGCUUUGCGAUAGCAAUAUGUCAAUCUUGUUGAAAUCAUAUUUAUGACUAAAAGGAAAGCACAAAGAAUUUUAGCUUGAUAUAGUGUUGCAUCCGUUGGUAGAAUUGACAUAGUAUCCAUUGAAAAGUAUAGUAUGCUAAGGUGGAAUGUCUGAGGCUGUUUCUUUGACUCAAAAUAGGUUAGUGUAUUCCUAAGCUGCAAUCCCUGUUGGCCAGGAUACAGUGUAUGUUGUUUUUAACCUAGCUUAGCUACUUUUAAGAGCAAACCCCUUUUUAUCAGAUACAGCAAGAUGUCCUUUUGGAAUAAAACAAGGUGGUUAACUCUAUCAUAAAAAACUGGUGGGGAUGUUCGGAAUAAGACUGUUGAGUGCCAACGAUGAUGAGAUCACCUGUUUUUCAAUUUAUGGGAACCUUGUACCUUACGUCGUUGCAUAUUUAGUUUUUCUAUUAAUUGAUAUACUUAUGCAUACAGUUGCUUGUUGUACGUUGUUCACUACUACCAGCUCACGGUCACAAGCUUGCUUGUGCGAACAAGUCAACAACUUGCUGAAAUUUGCAAUUUCUAUUUUCUUUAUUUAUCUAUUGUAGAGGCAGAUUGAAAAGUAGAUGAACUGAUUGCAGAGUGUCAUUGCCUGCCAUGUUGGUGUUUUCUGUUUAAAGUACUGCAUCAUUCUAAGUUCAUGCUUCCCAAUAUUCAUUGUUGACAGUAUUAAUGCACUUUGUUUGGUUCUAAAUUGGGGUAUGGUAUGCCUGCAUUCAUGAUGUCGCUGCAAGUAUAUGUUCUCAACUGUAUCCUUAGUUAUAGGCAUGAAAUUUGCCUUCUAAAAUUAUGUUUAGGUUUUGUUUUCUUAUUGACUAGCUAAAUGCUAUGCGUCAUAUUAUUGAUGGUGCAACUGACACCAGCUCUGGCUUUGUUUUUGUUCAAUUAAAAGUGAUGGUGAGAGGAUGGAGUGGUUGUAGUUUUGGCUAUAUUUUGAGGUCAAAUUAAUUCUUUCUACUCUGAUGUCGCCUUUGCUCUUUCAAUUUGCUGUUUUCGUGGUUUAUCUUCUAAACUUGCCAACAUCUUUUUAGGAGGUUUGACUAGUUGAAAAUGGAAAUAUUGAUGUAGCCAAUUCCGAGUAAAUUAAAAUAGUUUAAGCACAUAGUGCAACACUUUUAUCUGGCAAGACAAAAGAGAUGUUCUGAAGAUGCUCUAGUGCCUCCAUGGGUUUUGGUCUAGUGGUAAUAGCACACACGUGGUCAGGUGUAUGCAUUAGACUAACCUCACCGUUUCAACGACAAAAGCUUGAUAUUUAAGUGGAGAAGAAUAAAAGGAUUAGAUAAUUAUCUAUCGAGUUUUGAGUUAUGUGCCGCUGGCUUUCAAGACUCGUUUCAUUAAAAAUAGAUGCACUAAUGUACCAUAUUUUUCUCAAUGUUUAGUACUGUCUGAAAUUGUACUAAAGUAAUAAGAAGCAGAUGAAGCAUAUGCUUUUUACUAGGUUUCCAUCGGAUGACUUUGAUUAAUAAUGUCUUUUCAAUUAUCUUAAGACCGGCCUAACCUAAAAUUUUAAACUCUCAUCUUCUCAUGUUGGAACCCCCAUGGCCACGUCUAAAUCUAUCUUUUGGAGUUGUAGGUUCAGUUUAUUUCUUCAACAUGCAAUAGCAUUUCCCCCCUUUUUAAACAUGAGGGCCCAAUUCCUUCUUUCUGUCAACACUCUUAUGCACAUAGUAUAUAUUAUUUUGCAUUCAAUAGUCAUACAUAUCAAGUUGCUUAUACUUAUCAGGUGCAUUUCUUUAGGACAAUGAUGUCUAAGUUGCGCGUACUUUGAUUAUUCCACUAAUUAUCGAAUAUCUAUGCCAUUAAGGCAUAGAUAGAUUUUUUUUGUCGGGUGAUUUUAACCUUAAUCUUCCAUGGGUUAUCCCACGUCAUUCAUCACUAGACCACACUAUUAUGUGCGAUAAUCGGUAUUUUUCUCCGUGCUCGUAAAUUAUCUUAUUUUAUCUCAAAUUGAGAUGUAGAUAUGUCAAUGUGAUGCCUUUUGGCCUUGAUUUGAGACAUUUUCUGAAACUUUUACUUUUCAUGCCAGUCUAUUUUUGUUUUUACUUUUGGAAGAGA
Nicotiana tabacum (common tobacco) is the source of this 4728-nucleotide RNA transcript. RefSeq lists it as uncharacterized. Lineage: Eukaryota; Viridiplantae; Streptophyta; Magnoliopsida; Solanales; Solanaceae. The record is from RefSeq and is a predicted model, not a curated record.